AAGGGGGCUGCCUGAGAGCUCAGUCUCCUGGCUGGACUAGGAUAUUUAUAGCACCUGUGUUUCUGGACCUGUCUCUACCUGGAUUUAUGCAGUCUGUGGCUGUAGCAUGUGUGGGGAAUGAGGGGGGCACAUCUUGCUGCAAGGGCUGAUUCCCGGCCUUGGGACUCUGGCUGGAAUGAAAGUUAUAAAAUCAAAACAAGGGGCCAUCUGGGGGAACACCGAGGCAGAAUGGCUCUUUCGUGCUGUGUCUGCAGAGCAGUCGGUGAUCAGGCUUGGCUAAACCCGGGGCUUUCCAACACCACCUAGUGUUCUAUUUAUGGCAGCUGUGGGCGUGGGUGAGGCAGGUGUGGGUGGUGGAGGAAGCGUACCCCACCCUCCCAGUUCCCCAGGGCUGUGGCUCUCUGUUUCCUGGCUGCUCCUCCAAAGGGUUAAAGCCUGAAAGAAUGUUCUCUCUCUCUGGGGAUCUGCACUUUGAAAGAGGAGCCCAGAGAGCACGUGGUGGCCCAUCCUCUCUUCCAGAACAGCAAAACUAGAGUCCAAGUUUGCAGACCCAACGUCCAGGUCCUCCUCUUCAUCUUUCCCUAAUCGCAUGAAAUGUAAUCAGAUGUUUGAAGAACCCGGAGAAACAAACGAACAACCUCCAAGAGCGGAAAAUGGAAUCUGAGGGCAGGUGCAGCAUCUGUAUCAUUACUCCAGUGAAGACAGAUACUGGAACUGGCUGUGAGAAUACCCCUCUGGAAUUGCCCAUUGCUGGGGCCCAUCUGCUGGUAGGGACACCCUGUUCCCAAAUGCUGGAAGAUCUGCCGCUCCCUGCCCCCGCCACCGACAGUUGCUGAGCUGCCACCUGCUGUCUGUUUCCACACCCUUGCACACUGCAUUCUGCUUGUCACUCUGGACGGCUGCCCGGCAGCUGCAGCUGAGGCUGUCCUGCCAGCACCUUCCCCAGCCCGAUGGGUGGUCCCGGCCUGGCCUUGCCCUCCCAGCCUGCCUCAUCUGCUGCGUGUACUGAGCCACAUCUGGCUGGAUACACUGCUGGAGUAGCCUGGAUGGGCCCGGACACCUUGACCUUCAGAGAGAUGGGCAUCCUGCCUCAGGACCUCUUGGAGAGGGUCGGCUGUGGAACCCAACAGUACAAGACAAUAAUGAUGAUGACAGCUCAUGUUUACUGAGGACUUAUGAAGUAACAGGCUCAGUGAUUUACCAACUUGAUGUAUACCUCGCCACUCUCCUGUAAAAUAAGUAUUAUUAUGUCCCCUUUUGACGGAUGAAGAAACCAAUGCUGCAUGAUAUGAAUGAAUCCAUGUGAAGGUCUCCCAGGGCAUAAUUUAUGAAGCUAGGGUUAGGCACUUCUGCUUUUUGGUCCUGCUUUCUGGGCACCAGGAAGAAAAAAAUAAGAGAAGUUGUUUUUAGCCUUUAGGUGAUUAAGGCCCAAGAAAGCAGAAGGGCGGAGGGUAGACUGGACAGGCCUAUGCUUAGGACAGGAGGGACAAAUGAAUAGAGCAUCCCUCUUUGUCCAGCUGAAGGUGGCAGAAGGUGACACAGAAUCAGGAACUUUCCUUCAAAGGGUGCGGAUUGUAAAUAAUUGCCUGCCAUGUCUUUGGAAGACUUUGGCCCCCAGUGGGAAGAACCUGCAUUUGCCUUGGCUUCUGCCACCAGCUUCAGCUCCCCUUAGGAACACAAGAUCCCCUAUGUCCUACUGGAUGCUACAGUGAUGGGAUCCAGCAACAGGGUUGUAGCUGCAAAAUGGAUCAGGUUUUGUGGGGUCCCACGGUUAGUUUUGGGGUCCUACCAUGGUCCUGACUGCCCAAAGUGUGAUUUUCAGAUAGUCCAAAUCAUUCAAAAGGAAAUUCUGCCUUUUGGUUUUGCCAAAGAGGGAGUUGUUUGGAAGGGGACUCCACGGUGGGGAAUCCCACUCUGAGGGUGCCGUGAGGGCCGGUGGAGCCCAGGCACUAUCCAAGUUACACAGGUGCGCCCCACAUGGUGGGCCAUGUGUGCGGCUGCCUGGGCUCUGGAACCUGCGGGGUCCUCCGUGCUUGGAAUAGUCUGGAUCUGCUGACUUGGCAAAAAUGGGUGUGGGGGUUGGUCCACAUCUGGAGGAGAGAGGGAAGGAGGCCCCAGUGGCCUGGGCCGUGGAGGGGCUUGCCAGCUUUGCCCACAGCCCUGAGCUCCCCCUUCUUUUUCCUCAACCACAAGAACAGUGUAAUUCUCCUCAUGUUAAAAGUAAACAGCUGGCAGCAUCUGCCAUGCUCAAAAUAAACCAAGAACGAAUAGGAGGCAUUCGUAACCACAAUAGGUCCUGGAUAGGGAAGGAAGGGGUGGUUCACUAUGUAAAAUCCAAAGCUGGCUACUUGCGGAGCCUCAAUUCAUUUGUUUCAUGAUGGGUGGUUAAUUAGUUGAUCAAUGCACAAGCUCCUAGAAGGUCCUGCUGGUGCCGUUUGCCAUGGCUCCCGGGGCAGCUCCCAUGGACAUCACAGUAACCUUGUGGGGCCAGAUGGUCCAUGGUAUAGCAGGGACUGGGAAUGAUGGUCAGGCCUGAGGUGUUAGCUGCCCCUUGCUGCGCGUCCGGGGUCAAAAAGCCAAGGACCUGGGAAGACUGGGAAAACGGUGUGGCAAACCAGUGCCGUCACACAGUAAUAUACACACUGACUCCUCAAGUCUGAUCGACAGACUGGGCCUGGGCCUGGCUGGCAGCAUCCGAUAGCUCUGAGGGGCUCAGGGAUGAGACUGGCCAUAUCUGAACAGCAUCGAAUCCUCUCCUCCCGGCACACUAAGUGUAAGCGCCAGACAGAAAAACAAAUUAAUAUUACAAAUGUCACAAGCUUUCAUGGUCUGGAAAGAGAAAGGCUUCCAACAAGGGACCGAUUCACAAGGCUUCGUAAUUCUGGGGACUACCAUCCUUCAUCACCCUCAUAAAAACAGCCAGAAGUGGCGUAGGGCUCACUGGAGAAGAACAUGGGGAAGGUCGGGGUGCCUGAAUGCCCAGAGAUCAGGCAGUUGGCUGUAACUUCAGAAAUGGGUUUUAUGCUGGAGGUCACAAACUGGCUGUCAGCUGGCUGAUUCCAGUAGGUAGACAUGUACUCGUUGGCCCACAAAUGCCUUUAUUUUUGAAUUUGAAUUAGAGGCCAAAAUGUGCCAAUCAAGAGAAUCACGCACGUGCGCGCGCGCACACACACACACACACACACACACACACACGAACCAAACCAAAAAAAUCCCCACCAAAACCCUCAUAUUCCCUUGAAAUACCUGUGCGCUCAGGCCUAAGCUCUCCAGAUGGCAUCAGGCAGCACAACUCCCUUCCCUCCCUGCUGCCUUCUACAGUCAUUUGUGAUUUCAACUCCAGUGUUAAGCCAUCAAGCACGUUUUAUGGAUCAGGGAGUUAGUGGGGCUGACUUUCCAAAAGUCCAAUUUAAAUGAAGGUUAUAUAACAAAGUGGGAGAGAGAGAUUUUGCUUCUACUUUAGGUGAAAAGAUUGAGCUAGUCCUUUAUUUCAUUGAAACAAUUAUCUAAUUAAAAUCAUUUGUUUUUUAAUUAAGCAACAUCACAACAUACAAGAAAAGUUCCGGAAAUUUAAAAAAAAGCUACUUGGGUUGUCAUCCUUGCAAAAUUUUUCCUCGUGUGUAUUCCUUCCAGUCUUUUUUCACACGCAUUUUUACAUAGUUACAUACGUGGGUGUGUAUCCUGCUUUUUUCAUUGAACACUGUAAUUUACAUAUUUUAUCCCAUUGCUUUCUAAUCCGCAUUUUUUGUUAUUCUAAAUGUUUCAAGGAACAUCCGCAUGCAUUUGGAUCUUUUUGUAUUUUGAAGUAUUUGCUCAGAAGAUAGUUUCAGAAGUAGCAUGAAUGGGUUAUAUAUAUAACAACUUGCAUAUUAAAGAGUUAACCUGGAAAUUCCUAACCCACAAGUACCCUGUAUAAGUCUCUUUAUCUCAGCAAAUCGUUGGAGAGGCUGUAGGAAAAAAAACCUCAUUUCAGCAUCUGUGAUAGGAUUGUGGGUAAUUAAAAAAAAUUGCAGCAUGUGAAGUCCAUUCCGGGAAUAGCACUAUCUUGAGACCCAAGUCAAAUAGUACUAAAUGUGCUAAGCAGAGGCCUGUGUUUAAAGAAGAAACUCAUUUGCUCUUAAUAACUGCAAAAUGCUGCAUAGCUCGACGAUGGAGUCAGAAAACUCCGCAGAGCAUCAAAGCCUGGUUCAAAAAGAUAUGGGAGGCCAAGAUACAAGACAAACUGUCUUUCCCCAUUAAAGCAUCUUUGUGCCCUAA
Molecule: long non-coding RNA, 4257 nt
Organism: Callorhinus ursinus (northern fur seal)
Lineage: Eukaryota; Metazoa; Chordata; Mammalia; Carnivora; Otariidae
Source: RefSeq, a predicted model, not a curated record